Molecule: long non-coding RNA, 1265 nt
Organism: Gallus gallus (chicken)
Lineage: Eukaryota; Metazoa; Chordata; Aves; Galliformes; Phasianidae
Source: Ensembl
GGUCUCUUUGCUCCAUAAGUCAUUGCCUGCUCAUUACUUGUAGUGUGAGAGAUGAAAUUUAUUCAAACCUGAUAGCAGGGAUGAAGAAUUGAAAGGCAGGCAGCUGCGAGAAAUGAAAUUAGCUUAUUCUAAUGCUUUUUUGACAGGAUUUUUUUCAUUGCCAUGGGUUACUGUACAUUUGCCUGAAAUGCUCCCCUGCCACAUCCUUAUCUCUAAUUUGGAGAGAUAUGUAUUUGAAGGGUGGACUGUUUGGUGGAUAAGAAAUUGGUUGGAAGGUUGCAGCCAGAAGAAUGUGGUCGCUGAAUCUAUGUCCAGGUGGAGGCUGCUAUGCAAUAGCCAUCAGAAUGGGAAAUUACUGAGGGAGAUUGAAGUGCUCAGAACUGCUGGCUUAUGAUCACUCAAAAUUCAGAAUUGGUAUUGUAUUGCAAUUCCUCAUCAAAAACAUGCAGAAUCAUCUUUCUCGUCAAAAACAUUUCAUUGAGAUAGCAGUCUACUGUGCCUCCCAAAAGGAAAGUGCUGAAGAUGUCACUGAAAAUUAUCACCACUUUCUUCUGCAUCAAGAAAAUAUAACUCACAUACAUCUCCUGGGAAUAUGGAAAUUAUGAAUAUUUGAGUCUAUCAUUUUUCCUUGAGGCCUGCCAAUGAGGCACAGGAGGUUGUUGAACUUGGAGUGAUAAUGUUCUUUCAAAGGCAGCAGCAAGUGGAUGUCAGGUCUCAGUCUUUGGAUACUCCAACUAACAAAAGUUUCUGGUUUAUCUUUCCUGGAUUCCCUUUACAGAAAGGGAGCUAGCUAAGAUUCAUGAUUUGCCAGAGUUGUCACUAGGAGCUCAGCAUGGGGCAGGAUGGAUUUUCUGCAGUCCAAAUCCAUCUUGGAUGCAACAGCAUUGCGUGUUCCUGCAACUGAAAUCACUGGGCAAGAGAUAGGGUCACAAAGAGCAGCAUCAAGUCCUCACUGAGUGAAGUCAGAUCAGUGAUUGAUAGCAUCAACCUGUGGGUCUGGACUUCUGCUUUUGCAUAUCAACUACAGAGCAUUUUCUGUCUUCAUGGAGGGUUCUUGUAAAGGAUUUGGACAGGCUGCUAUUGAAUCAGAUCAGAAUGGGAUAGUGGAGACAGCAGGAGAACAGCCAAGUGAGGCUAUAAAGUGCUUGAUUUGUGCUGCUGUAAAUCUGCUUCUGCACAGGUCUACUGAGGUACACUGGCACUCUGCUCCACAGCUCAUCACAGCAAAUCUUGGUCAUUAUCAGUCUUACUUAGUUCUGAACCAG